This 263-nucleotide unclassified non-coding RNA is filed under the name uncultured fungus. RNAcentral describes it as "partial contains small subunit ribosomal RNA, internal transcribed spacer 1, and 5.8S ribosomal RNA". The stretch from base 1 to 73 matches the Rfam family "Eukaryotic small subunit ribosomal RNA", at positions 1759 to 1831 of the family's 1831-position model. The record is from RNAcentral. Lineage: Eukaryota; Fungi.
GCAAACUUGGUCAUUUAGAGGAAGUAAAAGUCGUAACAAGGUUUCCGUAGGUGAACCUGCGGAAGGAUCAUUAACAAUUAAAUCAUCUAAAAGAUGAAAUACUUUGUGUGCAAUGUAUUGUUAAGAAAAAAGGAUGGAAUUAGUUUUUCAUCCUUUUUUUUUAUAUACACCACUGAAACUUUUGAAUAAAAAUAUUUUUUUUAAAAAUAAAUACAACUUUCAACAACGGAUCUCUUGGCUCUCGCAUCGAUGAAGAACGCAGC